RNAcentral lists this ribosomal RNA (2330 nucleotides) under Escherichia coli. RNAcentral describes it as "partial 23S ribosomal RNA". It matches the Rfam family "Bacterial large subunit ribosomal RNA", at positions 632 to 2925 of the family's 2925-position model. The record is from RNAcentral. Lineage: Bacteria; Pseudomonadati; Pseudomonadota; Gammaproteobacteria; Enterobacterales; Enterobacteriaceae.
AUUCUGUAGCAAGGUUAACCGAAUAGGGGAGCCGAAGGGAAACCGAGUCUUAACUGGGCGUUAAGUUGCAGGGUAUAGACCCGAAACCCGGUGAUCUAGCCAUGGGCAGGUUGAAGGUUGGGUAACACUAACUGGAGGACCGAACCGACUAAUGUUGAAAAAUUAGCGGAUGACUUGUGGCUGGGGGUGAAAGGCCAAUCAAACCGGGAGAUAGCUGGUUCUCCCCGAAAGCUAUUUAGGUAGCGCCUCGUGAAUUCAUCUCCGGGGGUAGAGCACUGUUUCGGCAAGGGGGUCAUCCCGACUUACCAACCCGAUGCAAACUGCGAAUACCGGAGAAUGUUAUCACGGGAGACACACGGCGGGUGCUAACGUCCGUCGUGAAGAGGGAAACAACCCAGACCGCCAGCUAAGGUCCCAAAGUCAUGGUUAAGUGGGAAACGAUGUGGGAAGGCCCAGACAGCCAGGAUGUUGGCUUAGAAGCAGCCAUCAUUUAAAGAAAGCGUAAUAGCUCACUGGUCGAGUCGGCCUGCGCGGAAGAUGUAACGGGGCUAAACCAUGCACCGAAGCUGCGGCAGCGACACUGUGUGUUGUUGGGUAGGGGAGCGUUCUGUAAGCCUGUGAAGGUGUACUGUGAGGUAUGCUGGAGGUAUCAGAAGUGCGAAUGCUGACAUAAGUAACGAUAAAGCGGGUGAAAAGCCCGCUCGCCGGAAGACCAAGGGUUCCUGUCCAACGUUAAUCGGGGCAGGGUGAGUCGACCCCUAAGGCGAGGCCGAAAGGCGUAGUCGAUGGGAAACAGGUUAAUAUUCCUGUACUUGGUGUUACUGCGAAGGGGGGACGGAGAAGGCUAUGUUGGCCGGGCGACGGUUGUCCCGGUUUAAGCGUGUAGGCUGGUUUUCCAGGCAAAUCCGGAAAAUCAAGGCUGAGGCGUGAUGACGAGGCACUACGGUGCUGAAGCAACAAAUGCCCUGCUUCCAGGAAAAGCCUCUAAGCAUCAGGUAACAUCAAAUCGUACCCCAAACCGACACAGGUGGUCAGGUAGAGAAUACCAAGGCGCUUGAGAGAACUCGGGUGAAGGAACUAGGCAAAAUGGUGCCGUAACUUCGGGAGAAGGCACGCUGAUAUGUAGGUGAAGUCCCUCGCGGAUGGAGCUGAAAUCAGUCGAAGAUACCAGCUGGCUGCAACUGUUUAUUAAAAACACAGCACUGUGCAAACACGAAAGUGGACGUAUACGGUGUGACGCCUGCCCGGUGCCGGAAGGUUAAUUGAUGGGGUCAGCGCAAGCGAAGCUCUUGAUCGAAGCCCCGGUAAACGGCGGCCGUAACUAUAACGGUCCUAAGGUAGCGAAAUUCCUUGUCGGGUAAGUUCCGACCUGCACGAAUGGCGUAAUGAUGGCCAGGCUGUCUCCACCCGAGACUCAGUGAAAUUGAACUCGCUGUGAAGAUGCAGUGUACCCGCGGCAAGACGGAAAGACCCCGUGAACCUUUACUAUAGCUUGACACUGAACAUUGAGCCUUGAUGUGUAGGAUAGGUGGGAGGCUUUGAAGUGUGGACGCCAGUCUGCAUGGAGCCGACCUUGAAAUACCACCCUUUAAUGUUUGAUGUUCUAACGUGGACCCGUGAUCCGGGUUGCGGACAGUGUCUGGUGGGUAGUUUGACUGGGGCGGUCUCCUCCUAAAGAGUAACGGAGGAGCACGAAGGUUGGCUAAUCCUGGUCGGACAUCAGGAGGUUAGUGCAAUGGCAUAAGCCAGCUUGACUGCGAGCGUGACGGCGCGAGCAGGUGCGAAAGCAGGUCAUAGUGAUCCGGUGGUUCUGAAUGGAAGGGCCAUCGCUCAACGGAUAAAAGGUACUCCGGGGAUAACAGGCUGAUACCGCCCAAGAGUUCAUAUCGACGGCGGUGUUUGGCACCUCGAUGUCGGCUCAUCACAUCCUGGGGCUGAAGUAGGUCCCAAGGGUAUGGCUGUUCGCCAUUUAAAGUGGUACGCGAGCUGGGUUUAGAACGUCGUGAGACAGUUCGGUCCCUAUCUGCCGUGGGCGCUGGAGAACUGAGGGGGGCUGCUCCUAGUACGAGAGGACCGGAGUGGACGCAUCACUGGUGUUCGGGUUGUCAUGCCAAUGGCACUGCCCGGUAGCUAAAUGCGGAAGAGAUAAGUGCUGAAAGCAUCUAAGCACGAAACUUGCCCCGAGAUGAGUUCUCCCUGACCCUUUAAGGGUCCUGAAGGAACGUUGAAGACGACGACGUUGAUAGGCCGGGUGUGUAAGCGCAGCGAUGCGUUGAGCUAACCGGUACUAAUGAACCGUGAGGCUUAACCUUACAACGCCGAAGGUGUUU